AAUCGACGGCCUCAGUCAGGG
RNAcentral lists this microRNA (21 nucleotides) under Oryza sativa (Asian cultivated rice). RNAcentral describes it as "osa-miR3980a-5p". The record is from miRBase by way of RNAcentral. RNAcentral also lists the same sequence under 1 other name. Lineage: Eukaryota; Viridiplantae; Streptophyta; Magnoliopsida; Poales; Poaceae.